GGUUGCGAUCAUACCAGCACUAAUGCACCGGAUCCCAUCAGAACUACGCAGUUAAGUGUGCUUGGGCGAGAGUAGUACUAGGAUGGGUGACCCCCUGGGAAGUCCUCGUGUUGCAACCC
Molecule: ribosomal RNA, 119 nt
Filed under: Helianthus annuus (common sunflower)
Lineage: Eukaryota; Viridiplantae; Streptophyta; Magnoliopsida; Asterales; Asteraceae
Source: RNAcentral